This is a non-coding RNA of Caenorhabditis elegans, 21 nucleotides long. The record is from Ensembl. Lineage: Eukaryota; Metazoa; Nematoda; Chromadorea; Rhabditida; Rhabditidae.
UCGACUAUUGAUUUUGUUUGG